AAACUAUACAUACCCUAUAUACCUAGUUGUGUAUAUGAAUAUGAUAUAAAAAACAUCAUCAGAUUUUUCUUUUUCAUUCGAUUUUUUUUUAGGAAAGUUUCUGGCCAACUUUGUAAAUUUCCAGGUUUGGGCUGUGUCGUAUUCUGCAUUUUCAAUUCAAUGAAGAACAGGGAAUCAAUGUAAUAGGAGGUUUCGAUCCGGCUCGUAUUGAUACCUAGUUUUUUGGAAACAUGUUGGGGAAUUGUGUUGCUUCUGCUCAACUUUGAGAGUUUUCUUCUUCCUAUAGCCUCCUCCUUCAAAACUUGUUUAAAAUGUCAGGUGAUAUGUUAGGCCUAGAAGGACUAGAGGCAUAUGAUGAAACCAAGGACAAGAGGUCAGAUUUUGAAAACUCUGAAGAUGAAAGACGGCGAUCCAAAAUUGGGGCUUUGAAGAAGAAGGCAAUAAACGCUUCAAACAAGUUCACUCAUUCUCUUAAGAAAAGGGGGAAAAGGAAAAUCGACCACAGGGUUUCUUCAGUUUCCAUCGAGGAUGUGCGCAGUUCAAGAGAGGAGAGUUCUGUGUAUGAUCUGCGUCAAAAACUCCUUCACAAGGAUUUGUUGCCAGUUAGCCAUGAUGACUAUCAUACUUUGUUGAGGAACCAGCAGUUGAGUCUUGAGCUAUUGAUUUGUUUUAGGUUUUUGAAAGCAAGAGAGUUUAACAUUGAGAAGACCAUCCAGAUGUGGGAAGAAAUGCUUAACUGGAGGAGAGAGUAUGGAGCAGAUACCAUAUUGGAGGACUUUGAAUUUGAGGAGCUGGAUGAAGUGUUGCAAUAUUAUCCCCAAGGAUAUCAUGGAGUUGAUCGGGAAGGCAGACCUGUUUAUAUUGAAAGGCUUGGGAAAGUUCACCCCAGUAAACUAAUGCGCAUUACCACAAUUGAACGAUAUUUAAAAUAUCAUGUCCAGGAGUUUGAAAGAACCCUUCAAGAGAAGUUCCCUGCCUGUUCCAUUGCUGCAAAAAGACAUAUAUGUUCAACAAUCACAAUAUUGGAUGUCCAAGGACUGGGGAUAAAGAAUUUCACGACAACUGCUGCGAGUCUAUUGUCAGCCAUGGCCAAAAUUGAUAAUUACUACUAUCCUGAGACACUCCACCAUAUGUACAUUGUCAAUGCUGGCCCUGGCUUCAAGAAGGUGCUUUGGCCUGCAGCACAAAAGUUUUUGGAUCCAAAAACUACUGCAAAGAUACAUGUGAAGGAUAUGAACUGGCGUUUAAUUUUUUCCUUUCUUUUCUGUUUCUUCCGUAUUGCAGCUUCAACUGUUCUCGCAAUCUAUUUACAGGUUUUGGACGCUAAAUCUUUGGGGAAACUACUUGAAGUCAUUGACCCAAGUCAACUGCCAGACUUUUUGGGUGGAUCAUGCUCUUGCUCUCUCGAGGGAGGUUGCCUUAGGUCUACUAAGGGUCCCUGGGCUGAUCCUGAAAUUAUGAAGCUUGUGCAUAAUGCAGAAUCCACGCUUGUUAGGCAGAUCACCCGAAUAAUCAGUGACCAGCAGAAAGUUAACUCUUAUAUUCAGAUACGCCCAUUGAAGGGGAGAGGCAGCGAUAAAUCAACUGUUGAAUUAGGAUCAGACAUCGAAGAUUCUUGCACUCCAACAAGACGAAAUAGAUCUGUGACUUCACGACUGGCCAUUGUUCAUGAAGACGCAAAAGCAUUGGAUCCAUGUAUCUACUAUGAUUGUGAGGAUCAUCUUUGGCCAGUUGAUGAUGAUAGUGACUGCAAGCAAGGAACUGCCAACCUUCUGGACCAGUCUUUUGAAUUUGACAAUGCAAGAUAUUUGAAAGCUGAUGGGAGAACAAAUCUAGAAGUCUGGUAUUUUAUUGGCUGCACAUCAUCCAGGAGAAGGUUGUUAAGAAAAGUUUCCUGUAUAUGGCGAGAGCAUUAGUGUCUUUCACGACCAAGCUUUUUGCAUUGAGCCCAAAUGUUCCCUUUGCAUAUUGGAGAAGACAUGCCGACAUUUAUCCAUCUAAUGCAGUGGAAGAUGGAACUGAACACUGCAGGCUCUCAACUGUUGAUGCUGAAGCUGUAAGUGAAGAAGACAGGGUACUUCCAUGCGUACAGCGACUCCAGAGGUUGGAAAGUUUGUUAGAAGAACUCGAACAAAAGCCUGCUGAAAUUCCGUUAGAAAAGGAGCAAAUGCUACUGCAAUCUUUGAACAGGAUUAAAACUGUAGAACUUGACCUCGAAAAAACGAAGACGGUAUUAAAUACUGCAGCUACAAAGCAGCUUGAGAUCGCAGAGUUUUUAGAGAAUAUGCAGGAAUCCAGAUUUCGCCAACGAAAGUUAUGCUGUUAACUUGUCGAUUGUAGAGAGUAGGGAGAUCCUGCAACCACUCAAUGCAUAAUAUGCCCUUUCGGGAGUCUUUAGCCAAUCGUCAUGGAAGAAGUGUGUGCAGAUCAGCAUUUUGUUUCCUCCCUCAGUUUUCCUUUCAUUCCACAAUCCAUGACAAAUCUGCCACGCAGCUUAGCAAAAUGUUUAUCUCAAAGUCUGAGAUGGUGUAGAACAGAGAGAGCUUCAGUGUGGAUUUUAGUCUUCUUCCUAGUGGAACUAUUUGCGGCAUUUUUCUUGCUAAUUGUCUAAUACUCUGUGUAGUUAAUGCAUAGAGAUAGUCAGAUGUAAAUGGAUACUGAAAUGAAUUUAGGAAGUCUCUUUCCUUUAAAUUGAGACUGACACUUGAUAAUAAACUGAUCUAUUGACUAAAGUGAGCUCAACCACAGUCGAAAA
Molecule: RNA transcript, 2755 nt
Organism: Olea europaea var. sylvestris
Lineage: Eukaryota; Viridiplantae; Streptophyta; Magnoliopsida; Lamiales; Oleaceae
Gene name: phosphatidylinositol/phosphatidylcholine transfer protein SFH13-like
Exons: 14
Source: RefSeq, a predicted model, not a curated record